This 253-nucleotide ribosomal RNA is filed under the name uncultured bacterium. RNAcentral's name for it is "partial 16S ribosomal RNA". It matches the Rfam family "Bacterial small subunit ribosomal RNA", at positions 524 to 776 of the family's 1533-position model. The record is from RNAcentral.
GACAGAGGCCCCGAGCGUUAGGCGGAAUCACUGGGCUUAAAGCGUGUGUAGGCGGGCCCGUAAGUGUCUUGUGAAGUCCCACGGCUCAACCGUGGAACUGCUGGGCAUACUGCGGGUCUUGGGCCAACUAGGGGCAGCCGGAACAAGCGGUGGAGCGGUGAAAUGCGUAGAUAUCGCUUGGAACGCCGAAGGUGAAAACAGGCUGCUGGGGUUGCGCCGACGCUGAGACACGAAAGCCAGGGGAGCAAACGGG